AAUUCUCAACCCCGAUCGAUUUGUUUCGACUUCGGGGCUUGGAUCUGGAGCGUGCUGGCGUCGGUCGGCUCCUCUUAAAUGCAUCAGCGGAAUCUAACGUUUCGGACGUCAGUGUGAUAAUCAUGUUGCGCUGUCUGUCUGAUCCGAAAGCCCGCUCAUAAUGGUCUUCGGACAACUUUAUCAA
Molecule: unclassified non-coding RNA, 184 nt
Filed under: uncultured Piloderma
Lineage: Eukaryota; Fungi; Basidiomycota; Agaricomycetes; Atheliales; Atheliaceae
Description: sequence contains ITS2
Source: RNAcentral